This 965-nucleotide ribosomal RNA is filed under the name Salmonella enterica subsp. enterica serovar Kentucky. RNAcentral describes it as "partial 23S ribosomal RNA". It matches the Rfam family "Bacterial large subunit ribosomal RNA", at positions 586 to 1554 of the family's 2925-position model. The record is from RNAcentral. Lineage: Bacteria; Pseudomonadati; Pseudomonadota; Gammaproteobacteria; Enterobacterales; Enterobacteriaceae.
GGGUGGGGUGACUGCGUACCUUUUGUAUAAUGGGUCAGCGACUUAUAUUCUGUAGCAAGGUUAACCGUAUAGGGGAGCCGAAGGGAAACCGAGUCUUAACUGGGCGUUAAGUUGCAGGGUAUAGACCCGAAACCCGGUGAUCUAGCCAUGGGCAGGUUGAAGGUUGGGUAACACUAACUGGAGGACCGAACCGACUAAUGUUGAAAAAUUAGCGGAUGACUUGUGGCUGGGGGUGAAAGGCCAAUCAAACCGGGAGAUAGCUGGUUCUCCCCGAAAGCUAUUUAGGUAGCGCCUCGUGAACUCAUCUUCGGGGGUAGAGCACUGUUUCGGCUAGGGGGUCAUCCCGACUUACCAACCCGAUGCAAACUGCGAAUACCGAAGAAUGUUAUCACGGGAGACACACGGCGGGUGCUAACGUCCGUCGUGAAGAGGGAAACAACCCAGACCGCCAGCUAAGGUCCCAAAGUCACAGUUAAGUGGGAAACGAUGUGGGAAGGCUCAGACAGCCAGGAUGUUGGCUUAGAAGCAGCCAUCAUUUAAAGAAAGCGUAAUAGCUCACUGGUCGAGUCGGCCUGCGCGGAAGAUGUAACGGGGCUAAACUGUGCACCGAAGCUGCGGCAGCGACGCUUAUGCGUUGUUGGGUAGGGGAGCGUUCUGUAAGCCUGCGAAGGUGUCCUGUGAGGGAUGCUGGAGGUAUCAGAAGUGCGAAUGCUGACAUAAGUAACGAUAAUGCGGGUGAAAAGCCCGCUCGCCGGAAGACCAAGGGUUCCUGUCCAACGUUAAUCGGGGCAGGGUGAGUCGACCCCUAAGGCGAGGCCGAAAGGCGUAGUCGAUGGGAAACGGGUUAAUAUUCCCGUACUUGGUGUUACUGCGAAGGGGGGACGGAGAAGGCUAUGUUGGCCGGGCGACGGUUGUCCCGGUUUAAGCGUGUAGGCUGGUUUUCCAGGCAAAUCCGGAAAAUCAAG